Talpa occidentalis (Iberian mole) is the source of this 2783-nucleotide long non-coding RNA. RefSeq lists it as uncharacterized. The record is from RefSeq and is a predicted model, not a curated record. The transcript has 7 exons. NCBI's taxonomy places the organism in Eukaryota, Metazoa, Chordata, Mammalia, Eulipotyphla, Talpidae.
CCUGGCGUCCCUGGGGUAGAAACGAAGCCGGGUGGAAGGUCGGGGGUGUGGGGAGAGACCGGCGGAGAGAAGACAGAGGGCGGUCGACCUGCGCUCUCUUUGGUGCUGGGGUCGGGGGCAUCUGCGGCAGCUGGGGUGUCGUGGUCCCCUCUAGAGCUGCGAGGAGGUAAAAAUGCCAAGAAGUUUAACACUCAAUAAAAAAUCCACUUCAAAAAGUCUGGGAAGACAGAUUCCAGCCUACUGGGCAUCUGUGCAGCUAAACGCAUUCCUGCCUGCAGGUCUUCUUGCAGGAAACCCUCCCUAACUCACCAGGCAGUGAGGUCUCUACCUCUCCUCCUUCAGUGCUAAUGCACUAGGUGCAGGGGAUUUAGAGCACCAUGCCCCUACCAGGAGCUGCUUUUGGGAAGAAGAACUACCUAUUCAGGCAGAGCUUGUAUAAGCGUCCUGCCUCUGGUUCAGGCAGUGAGCUCUGUGACGUCACUGGAACACUGAGGGAAAGUUCCUUCUAUUCUUCAACGGAAACUUUGACAGCAAGUCAGCUCGGUGACCGCACAACCUUUCAGCAUCAUAUUUUGGCCUUUAUUUGUUCAUUUAGCACAUUCCAAGACACUACAGCAGGGUGCUGGAGGUAAAUAACAAACAAAGGAAACUCCUGCCAUGAAGUAGCUUAUGCUUGAAGGAGACAGACAACAAAGCAGAUGCCGUGUGGUGCCCCCUCGGGGUGGGGGGUAUGAGCAUGUGAGCAGACCCCUGAAGGAAGUAAAGGCCCAUACAUGGUGGAAGAGUGUUCCAGCAGAGGGAAGGGCUGUGCAAAGCCUGUGCGGCAGGAGGCAGAGCAGCUGGAGAGGUUGGAAUGAUGAGCCAGCAGAACAGGCUAGCCAGGGGGACACUAGGACCCGAGACAUGGAAAGGCCUUUAAGUUUCCAUCUGGGAAGGUGGGUACACAUUGGAGAAGGAGAGCAACAGAGAGACGCGGCCUAAUUGAUAGGACCGUUCUGGUGACUAGGUGGAAAAUAGAUUUCAGGAGCAAGAGGAAGCCAGACACAGGCUUUUAAGAGUCCAGGUGUGAGGGGACAGCAGCUUGGCCUGAGCUGGCUUGGGCAUGAUUUUUAAUGGAAGGGCUUAGAAGUUCUGUUGUUGAGUUUCGUGCUGGGUGGGAGAAAAAGAAGAUGGCAGGAAAAACGAAGACAUUCACCACACUUGGCAAGCUCAGCUGCUUUUCAGGACGGGAGAGGAAUUGUUGGAAGGUGUGAGACCGGAAGGACGCUUUAGCUGAGGUUGUCCCACAAUAAUGAUUUUCCUGAAGUGGACCAGCUGGAUCUGGAAGCUGGACCCACUGAUCCCUGGUGCUGAGGUCACCGACGACUGUUUGUGUUUAGAUGGUUCCGUGCUGUGUGAAGAACUCAUGUCACGCAGACCAGCCUUUCCUCUCCUUCCGGUAGCAUGCUUGAAGGAGAAUGAGAUCCCCAGAAACCCACACAACUAGACAAUGUGCUAUACAGUCAUUGUUAUUCUGGCAGAAGAAGUGAGACCUCAAGAGGAAGGAAGUAUCUAGAAUGCAUGUAGCUCUUGUCCAGAAAAAAAAAAAUGUGGUUAUUAAGAUGUCUCAAUCAACCGGGUAUCCCUGUUUCAGGAGAACAGGAGGACUGGAGAGAUGACAUAAUCUGCCCAAAAUUCAAGGUGACUCUAGAACCACGCCGUUCUCCAGCUAACCACUCAGAACUCUGGUUGUCUCUGGAAGCAAUGGACUUAGAGGGACUUCAGGCUUUGUGACCAUCAGCCUUUGUCUCCUCUGCUGGGAUUUGUCUCAGGAGAAUCCCAAGCCAUUCCAACAGGCAACAAUCACGGAGUCACGGACCGUCAGAGCGACUUGGCACUUCGAAGUGGUGCUGUCAUCGGCAAGUGUGUGGUGAAAGCUUCCGUGAGUGAGCAGCUCGGCUGUAGGCACGCGAUGGCUCCACUAAGACACAGUCAUGCAACAGGUGUAGCUGUCAGGAACACACCUCACAUGCUCCACACCUUUCUUUCUGAGAAAAACUAAGCUUCCAAAACCACUCAAUGUUCUAUCUUCAUUUGGGUGGAGAGGGGACAUCGAGACUAUGCAGAUUUUGAUUUUGAGCCCCUCUCCCACCGUCCUGCACUGAAGGAAGAUGUGUGCUAGAAGGAAUUUGCUGGAAGGGUUCAUGGAUCUCAGCAUAUAGUUGUACUCGUAGCUGAGCUUUAUCCCAGGGUAGGCAUACAAAGCAGAAACCUCGGAGGGAAAAGGUGCAUGGGCCGAAGUCCAGAGGAAGCCAGAAGCCAGCUGCCAGGAGUCCUCUCCCUGAAACCACACAAAAGGCGCUUAAUUCCUCUAGCAAUGCAUUGUAACAACACGUGUCAAGUGUUGUUUACUGGGGAAACUCGCUAGAGACUCAGUGCCCUAGGGUUUCAGUGGAGGCUGGUCACAUAAGGCAUCCUCUGCCGAGCAUGUACCAAAAUUGCAGACUUCUAGAAGGAGCACGGGUGUUCAUCACAAACCAUAUCAUUUGCACACAACCAGGCAGCGUGAACCACCCUCAUCAUUUAAGCAAAGUUUCAUUAUCAUCACUGAGAGCUGUUUGUCAGCCAAUCCCCAAGAGUCAGUCAAGGCCAACUUGGCAAAGCAGGCCUUGCCAAGGGCGAGCAGGCUCAGGCCUGCUGUGUAAACUCUGUCCUGUGCAGAAAGGUAAUCAUGUCCCAUUCCUUAUUCUACUAGAACUUAAUAUCGCCCUAAUAAGGUAAACGUGAUUGUUUAUCAUCAUAAA